GUGGCUGACUGGUUACGGUGUUCGCUUUGUAAGCGAAUGGUUCUGGGUUCGAUGCCCAAC
This 60-nucleotide transfer RNA is filed under the name Culex quinquefasciatus (southern house mosquito). Lineage: Eukaryota; Metazoa; Arthropoda; Insecta; Diptera; Culicidae. The record is from Rfam by way of RNAcentral.